Non-coding RNA from Acanthosepion pharaonis, 112 nucleotides. NCBI's taxonomy places the organism in Eukaryota, Metazoa, Mollusca, Cephalopoda, Sepiida, Sepiidae. The record is from the annotation of a GenBank genome assembly.
UAUGGCCACAUCACAUUGAAACACUGGUUCCUGUACAAUCCCUGAAGUUAAGCAACAUUGAGCCUGGUCAAUAGCUAGAUGGGUAACCACUUAGGAAUACCAAGUGCUGUAA